GCCAAUGUGGCAUAAUGGUUUGAGCAUUGGACUAUGACUCUGGAGACCAGGGUUCAAUUCCCACGUUGGCC
Phrynosoma platyrhinos (Desert horned lizard) is the source of this 71-nucleotide non-coding RNA. Lineage: Eukaryota; Metazoa; Chordata; Lepidosauria; Squamata; Phrynosomatidae. The record is from the annotation of a GenBank genome assembly.